GACGAACGCUGGCGGCGUGCUUAACACAUGCAAGUCGAACGGAAAGGCCUGCUUUCCCUUGUGGAUUGCGGGUACUCGAGUGGCGAACGGGUGAGUAACACGUGAGUGAUCUGCCCCCAACUUGGGUAUAAGCCUGGGAAACUGGGUCUAAUUCCCGAUAGGACUGCAGGGUGGUGCCUGUGGUGGAAAACGAUUUUCUAGUGGUUGGGGAUGAGCUCGCGGCCUAUCAGCUUGUUGGUGGGGUAAUGGCCUACCAAGGCGGCGACGGGUAGCCGGCCUGAGAGGGUGGACGGCCACAUUGGGACUGAGAUACGGCCCAGACUCCUACGGGAGGCAGCAGGGGGGAAUAUUGCACAAUGGGCGGAAGCCUGAUGCAGCGACGCCGGGUGGGGGAUGACGGGCUUCGGGUUGUAAACUCCUUUCGACCGCGAGGAAGCCACCUGGUUGGAAGGGUGGUGGCGGUAGUGGUAGAAGAGGCACCGGCUAACUACGUG
This 494-nucleotide ribosomal RNA is filed under the name uncultured bacterium. Its description in RNAcentral is "partial 16S ribosomal RNA". It matches the Rfam family "Bacterial small subunit ribosomal RNA", at positions 28 to 507 of the family's 1533-position model. The record is from RNAcentral.